Molecule: long non-coding RNA, 480 nt
Filed under: Homo sapiens (human)
Lineage: Eukaryota; Metazoa; Chordata; Mammalia; Primates; Hominidae
Description: long non-coding RNA NONHSAT225511
Source: RNAcentral
AUUCAGUCAACUCCUCUUUGAGUGAGAGCAUUUUUUAAAUCAAAAGCAUGCAAGUUUUAAGAUGAGAGAGCGGGAAAGAGAUUGAGAGUCUAUAAGAAUGACUUUGCAAAAGUGAUAUAAUCCUUAUCAGAAGGUAAUCAAAACCAGGAGAGUAGUCUUGUAAUAGUAGACUGCAAGUAUUGGGAAGGCCAAGUUAAAGAACAGAGGCAAGAACUAUGAAAGUGAUCAUAGUCAACUUUUAUCUCCAAUACUGUCUCAGAGUUGACUGUUGUACACAAGUGAAAUUAGAUUAGGUACAGAUUAAAUUCUACUUAAAAUUUGUUCUUUAUUGAUUCCUUUAGGUUUCUUUAAACCAAGCUCAUGCUAUUUAGUCAGAACAUGACUUCUAGAAUGGUCUUCCAGAGUCAGAAUUCUCUGUUUACAAAGAUAAUUUCAAAUGUAGUAUCCCUCUUUACAUUCAGUGUUUCACCAAAUAACUCA